This 69-nucleotide transfer RNA is filed under the name Urocitellus parryii (Arctic ground squirrel). RNAcentral describes it as "Spermophilus parryii (Arctic ground squirrel) tRNA". It matches the Rfam family "tRNA". From Rfam's summary of the family: Transfer RNA (tRNA) molecules are approximately 80 nucleotides in length. The record is from Rfam by way of RNAcentral. RNAcentral also lists the same sequence under 2 other names. Lineage: Eukaryota; Metazoa; Chordata; Mammalia; Rodentia; Sciuridae.
GGAAUUGUAGCUCAGUGGUAGAGCUCUUUACUAGCAUGGGUGAGGUCCUGAGUUCGAUCCUCAGCACCA